This 61-nucleotide transfer RNA is filed under the name Diceroprocta semicincta. Its description in RNAcentral is "tRNA-Cys". Lineage: Eukaryota; Metazoa; Arthropoda; Insecta; Hemiptera; Cicadidae. The record is from RNAcentral.
AGCUUUAUAGUUAAAUAUAAUAUCAAACUGCAAUUUUGAAGUUGAACAAAUUCUAAGGCUU